Molecule: long non-coding RNA, 6022 nt
Organism: Aedes albopictus (Asian tiger mosquito)
Lineage: Eukaryota; Metazoa; Arthropoda; Insecta; Diptera; Culicidae
Exons: 2
Source: RefSeq, a predicted model, not a curated record
AGUAACACGUUUUUUUUUGGAGAAAAAAUGGGUUUUAUUCACAAAUUCCAUAUUUUCAUAGAAAAUAGACUAUUGUAUUUAUAAUUUUAUUAUUUUAUUUGCCCAUGUUUUCCAAUAUUUAUAUAAAAUAAAUUUUCAUAUUAUGAUUUGCAAUCUGACCUUAAAAUUUCUGUAACACGUAAAAUUUUAGAGAAAAAUAGAAUUUUAAAUACAAAAUUUCAUAUUUUCAUAGAAAAUAAACUACUGUCUUUAUAUUUUUUUUUUUUUCAUAAUAAAUAAACUACAGUCUUACAGUCUUACAGUUUUAUUUUUUUUCUAUCUGCUCAUCUCAACCAAUAUUUGUAUUUAGAAGAUUUUCAAAUACUGAUUCGGAAUCUGACCUAAGAAUUUCUGUAACACGUACAAUUUUUGAGAAUAAUAGGGAUUUAUUCACAAAUUUCAUAUUUUCAUAUAAAAUAAAAUAUUGUUUUUAUAAAUUUCAAUUUUCCACCUGCUCAUCAUAACCAAUUUUUUUAUUGAAAAGAUUUUGAUCUACUGAUUCAGAAUGUGGCUUAAGAAUUUCCGUAACAGGUAAAAUUUUAGUAGGGAUUAUUCAAAAAAUUUCAUAUUUUCAUAUGUCUUUAUAAGUUUAAUAUUUUUAUCUGCUCAUCUUAACCAAUAUUUGUAUUUAAUAGAUUUUUAUAUUCUGAUUCAGAAUCUGACCUAAAAAUUUCUGUAACACGUAAAAUUUUAGAGAAAAAUGAAAUUAUACAAAAAAAAUCAUAUUCUCAUAGAAAAUAAACUGUUGUCUUCAUAAUUUUCAUAUUUUUAUCUGCGCAUCUUAACCAAUAUUUGUACUUAAUAGAUUUUCAUAUACUGACCUAAGAAUUUCUGUAACAUGUACAGAUUUUAAGAAAAACACAAAAUUUCAUAUUUUUAGAGAAAAAAAUACUGUCUUUAAAAUUUUAUAUCCUCAUCUUAAUCAAUUUUUAAUAGAUUUUGAUCCAAUGAUUUGGAAACUGACCUAAGAAUUUCUGUGACCCGUGAUUUUUUUUUGAGAAAAAAUAGAACCCCAUUGUAGCGCAGGGUAAUUAGGUUGUUACCCAGAAAUGUAAGUAGAUCAUUUUUUUUGUAUAUGCUAUUGAAUUAAUCGAAAUAUAUUUGCAACUUUGAAGCUGCCCAGUUUGGCAACUACCCAGACUGUGUUUUCCUUUUACUUACGCCAACAAUUAUUUUUCUUAAAAAUUGUACGUGUUACAAAAAUUCUUGGGUCAGAUUUCGAAUCAGUAUAUGUACAUCCAUUAAACAUAAAUAUUUGUUAAGAUGAGCAGAUAAAAAAAUAAAAUUAUAAAGACAAUAGUUUUUCCAUGAAAAUAUGAAAUUUUGUGAAUAAAAUAUUUUUCUCAAAAGUUUUACGUGUUACAGAAAUUCAUAGGAGAGAAUACGAAUAAGUGAAAUAGAAUCUUUUAAAAAUAAAAUAUAAAUUAAGAUGGGUAGAUAAAAACUUUAAAAUUAUAAAGACAAUAUUUUAUUUUCUUUGAAAAUAUGAAUUUUGUGAAUAAAACCCCAUUUUUCUCAAAAACUGCACGUGUUACAGAGAUUUUUAGGUUAGUUACCAAAGCGGUGGAUGAAAAUCUAAUAAAGAUUAAUGUUGGCUAAAAUGAGGAGAUAAAAAAAUUAAAAUUGAAAAGACAAUAGUAUAUUUUAUUUAAAAAUAUGAAAUUUUGUAAAUAAAGCCCCAUUUUUUCUCAAAAAAAUUACGUUUUACAAAAAUUCUUAGGUCAGAUUCUGAAUCAGUGAAUCAAAAUCUAUUGAAUUUAAAUACUGGUUAUGAUAAGCAGAUAAAAAAAUUAUAAAUAUUAAGACAAUAUUUUGUUUUCUAUAAAAAUAUGAAAUUUUGUGAAUAAAACCCUAUUUUUCUCAAAAACUGUUCGUGUUACAGCAUUUCCGAAGUCAGAUUCGGAAUCAGCGGGCCAAAAUUCUUCGGAAAUGGAUCAAAUGGUCCAAGUGCGUGAUCUACUGUCGACCAGUGUUACCAGAAAAGUUGGAUGAAAUCAAUUUAGGAAAUGCUAAGAGAAUACUUUAAUAAAAUGUGAACAAAUCUUUAGAGAAAUCGAAAGACCAUUUAUUGGAUGAACUACUACAAAAAUUUCAAGAAAAAAAUCUAAAGAAAGUUGGGGAGAAAUUUCUAAAAACCUUUUUGAAGGAUCUUUGAAGGAAUUCUGAAAGAAUCUUUUGAUAAUUAUGAUUUGGAAAAAAAUAUUUAAGAAGUUCUUAGAAUAAUUCCCGCUGGAAUUGUUGAAGCGAUUUCUGAAAAAUUUUGAAAUCUCAACCUUGCUCUAAUCACUUAAAAUAUAGAAGCAUAUAUAGGCAUUCUGAAAGAAUUCCUGAAGAAAGUGGUAAAACAGUCUUUGGAGGAAUCCUUGAAGAAACUUUUGAAGUAAUUGUUUGAUUUGAUAAGAUAGGGUAUCUGUUCCUUUACUAUUUAAGCAUAUACGCUCCAACUUUCAUCCUACUCAAAUUAAAGGAAUGAAGCGCUUUUUGUGUUGUUUCCUGUUGAAAUUCUUGACUGAGAUGCUUGAUGGAAACAUAGAAUGAUUUUUCAGAAGGUUUCUCCAAAGAACUUUGAAGGAGUCGAAUAAAAAAUCGCAAAAGAUAUUUUUAGAAUAGUUCCCAGAGGAAUGCUAGCGAAAAAUCCUUGGGAAAUGUCCUAGAGUUGAUGGAUGUUGAAGAAUUAGUUGGAGGAAUUCCAGAAGGAUUUUUCGAAAGAAUUCCUACAAUCUCUGAAAGAGUUAUAUGAGUUUAUAAUUGAGAAAGCCUUGAAGAAUCUGUGGAGAAACGCUUAACCUUUGUGGAAAAACAUCAAAGAAUUUGAGAGGAUCUCCUGAAAGAAACCAUUGAGGGACGUUCGCAGAGAUUUUAAAGGGACUUAUCUUCCUCUGGCGGAAUUCCGAUGUCAUUUAUUGGAAGAAUAUGUGGUUCCAAAAAAAAUCAUUGAUGAAUUUUUUGCAGCAUUUUUUCUGGAAUUUCUUAAGAACUCUAUGGAUGAUCUUCUAGAAAUCCUCAGAGAUAUUAAUGAUAGAAUCCCUGGUGGACUUCCUGAACAAAUGUUUCGAGAAAUACUCGAUGAAGCCUUUGCAUGAAUCUUUUGAAGCACUCUGAAUUACUUUUGAGAACAUCUUCGGACGCAACACUGUAAGAAUUUCUGAAGGAGUUCUUAUAGAAAUACUGAAUGACAUUCUUGCAUUAACCACUUGAAAGAUUCUUGAAGAUAAAUUGUUCUCUACGAAAGUUUUUUUUUUAGAAAACGGUAAUGCAAUCUUUGAAGAUAUUCCUAAAUAAUUUGUUAAAAAAAAUUUCGACAUAAUUCUUAGAAAAAAAUCUCACACUCAUUGAUGGAUUUCAUUGGUUUUUUCAUCGUUUCGAACAAAAUAUAACAGUGCGAUCAUUCGAGAGAAUUAUCAUUGUAAAAUAUGUACAGUGUAUCAAUCAAUUGUCCGUACAGCAAUUUUUUGGUCAAAAUAAUUUUUCAUUCAAAUGAUCAUAACUUUUUUAUACAUCAAUCAAAUACGCUGAAAUUUUGAUCAAUCAUGCACCAUAUAUCAAAGCUCCAUUGGUAAAAUUUUGAGCGAGAUCGAAUAAGUUUUCUGAAAGUUAUAGAACUUUCAGUAAAACUUAUAAGAUUUUUGAACACAUUUUUAAAACAUUAUAUCUCAAUAUGUACUAGAUGAAACUUUUUCAAUUUUUUUUUGUGAUACAGCUGAUACUUAAGGCUUUCAUAUGCAGCUUCGUUUGAGGUUUUAUAUUCACUACAAAAAAUAUGAAAAAUCUCUAUAUGUUCAGAGUGUCAUUUGGAAAUUUAUCAUAUUUUGAUCAAUAAAAGUGCCAAGUGUUUUCAACGUUUUGAAACUCUCUUAAUGUAAUAUUUUUAUACAGGACCUACUAAACUACAUAUGAAGAGUAGGUCCCAUGUAUUUUUUGUUCAGUCAAUGCAUUUUUAUUGGUGGAAAACGUUUGGCGAUUAUAUGUGCAAAAUAUGGUGAAAUUUAAAAAAUCAUCAACUACAUAAGCACAUUUUUCAUAUUUUUUGUAGUGAAUAUAAAACCUCAAAAGUAACUGCAUAUGGAAGCCUUAGGUAUCAGCUGUAACACAAAAAAAAAUGAAAAAGUUUCAUCGAGUACAUACUGAGAUAUAAUGUUUUGAAAAUGUGUUGACAAAUCUUAUAAGUUUUACUAAAAGUUCUAUAACUUUCAGAAAACUUAUUCGAUCUCGCUCAAAGUUUUACCAAUGGAGCUUUAGUAUAUGAUUCAUGAUUGGUCAAAAUUCCAGCGCAUUUGAUUGGUGUAUAAAAAAGUUAUGAACAUUUGAAUGAAAAAUUAUUUUGAUCAAAAAAUUGCUGUACGGACAAUUUUUUGAUACACUGUACAUCUGUAAUUUUCAUGGGGGUCCACAAAUUUGGUUCCGCACCGGGCCCCCGAAUUCCUAGCAACGCUACUAUAGCGGGGCCGUUUCCGAUCAGAAUUUGAUGAUUCUGAUUGAAAAUGGCUCGCUCUAGUGUCAAAAUUCACGGACGGAGUGAAUUCUGUACAUCGAUGCACGAUGACGUCACGAAUGAAUGUUAGGUUCACUUACGUUCUCCCUGUCUUCUUCUCUCCCACACGAAUCUUGACAGUUUCCGGUGGUUUGUUUUGAUUCCCGUUCGUUGCCGUUUUCUUCUCUCUCGGGGAGAAAAGCGAGGUUAAAUUCCUAUGCGAAACUCUAUUGAAUUUUGCAAGGUGACGUCACGAAUGAACGUUCGGUUCAUUCUCGUUCGUCCCUUCCUUUUCCUUCUCACGUGAAUUUUGACAUUUUCCGGUGGUUUGUUUUGAUUCCCAUUCGUUGCCGUUCUUUUCUCUCUUGGAGAGAAAUUUGAGGUUAAGUUUCGAUGCAAAAUUCUAUAGACGAGUGUACAGAUGAACUGAAUUCAUCGUGGUCCAAGAAUUUUGACACUACAGUGGGGCCACUCCCAAUCAGAAUUGUUCAACUCUGAUUGGAAAUCGUUCACUUCUGAUUGGAAGCGGCCCCGCUCUAGUGUCAAAAUUCUCGGACCGGGAUGAAUUCAGUUCAUCGGUGCACUCGUCUAUGCUUAAAGGUCUGAGUUUGGCCAACGAUGAACUAGCUGGCGGUAGUGGACAAACGUCAAACUCGAACAAAAAUGAUGCCAGCGCCACAGAUGGGUAGUUGACCAGCUAUAAAAUUUUCAAAUUGACCGUUAAAUCGGUGAAUGAUAGAAAUUAUAAGAGUGUUACGUCUGUUUUUCUGUUCCGAAAUCAUUAGUAAUGGUUCAUUACUUGACCAUUUUUAUCAUAUUCUUGUGCACCCCGUUUUCACAAAGUGGUAACCAGGAUUAAACAGAUUGUGCAAUCAACUGUGCAAAUAUUCUUGCACAGUAGACCUUUGGAUUUCAUUGUCGAUAACAGUGUAGCAAUAUCCGUCUUCGGUGCAAUGCCGAUAACGGACGGAGGCAUUCCCCUAUAAAAUAGCUGAGUUAUACUCAAGGUUUCACCAGAAGUUGAUCGUUUGCUCUACCAUCAGCAUGUUGUUCCUCGUAGUUUUUAGUGGUCUCCUCCUCGUUCAAGGCGCUUGGUCCCAAGUGUCUCCGGAGGGCUGCCUCCUCGCCAUGUGUACUACUUACCAGGAGAUCAAUACCCUUCACUGUCACCUCGACCCGGCUCGCUUUUGCCGGUGUAGUUUAGACGAAAACGGUGGUUGGGUCCUCCAGGUGAUGUCUUGCCCGGGACCGGAAACCUUGUUCAGCCGAAGCCAGCAGGUCUGCAUCCACUCGUCAUUGUGGAAUGAGUACGAGUGUAUGAUACUGAAUGAUACUCGAUCUUGACCAUAGCCAGUCCUAGUUUUGGAUGGCAGACUUGCGCCCGAGAACUGUGGGCCGAUACUUGUCUAAUAAAGUAUUGUUUAUAAUGGAUUAAGUUUAGUAUCAGCAUUUCAAUAAAUAUCAAAUGGUUAUACGGUCUCUAAUAAAUAUACAUAUACUACCCGCCAUAAA